Molecule: ribosomal RNA, 661 nt
Filed under: uncultured bacterium
Lineage: Bacteria
Description: bacterial SSU rRNA
Rfam family: Bacterial small subunit ribosomal RNA
Source: RNAcentral
AGUGGCGGACGGGUGAGUAACGCGUGAGAAUCUGCCUCCAGGUCGGGGACAACAGAGGGAAACUUCUGCUAAUCCCGGAUGAGCCUUAGGGUAAAAAAUUUAUUGCCUGGAGAUGAGCUCGCGUCUGAUUAGCUAGUUGGUAAGGUAAAAGCUUACCAAGGCAACGAUCAGUAGCUGGUCUGAGAGGAUGAGCAGCCACACUGGGACUGAGACACGGCCCAGACUCCUACGGGAGGCAGCAGUGGGGAAUUUUCCGCAAUGGGCGAAAGCCUGACGGAGCAAGACCGCGUGGGGGAGGAAGGCUCUAGGGUUGUAAACCCCUUUUCUUUGGGAAGAACAAAAUGACGGUACCAAAGGAAUCAGCCUCGGCUAACUCCGUGCCAGCAGCCGCGGUAAUACGGAGGAGGCAAGCGUUAUCCGGAAUGAUUGGGCGUAAAGCGUCCGCAGGUGGCAAUGUAAGUCUGCUGUCAAAACCCAGGGCUCAACUCUGGUCAGGCAGUGGAAACUACAUAGCUAGAGUUCGGUAGGGGCAAAGGGAAUUCCCGGUGUAGCGGUGAAAUGCGUAGAGAUCGGGAAGAACAUCGGUGGCGAAAGCGCUUUGCUAGACCGAAACUGACACUCAGGGACGAAAGCUAGGGGAGCGAAUGGGAUUAGAUACCCC